AUUGAUAGUGCAUGCAUAUAUGGUGGGAUCUACGAUUGUGAAGGUUAUUUGGAUGGAAUGAUUAUUGUUACCUCUAAUUAAUUAAAAAAUAUUGGUUACAGGCUAUAAGUUUGACUGUCUGAGCCAACCAUAUUAAAGAGCAAACGGUUGACGACAAAAAAAAAAGUAAAAGUGCAUAGCGAGCUACAAAUCGCUCCAUUUUGAUUUGUUCCAACAAAUAAACAUAAAACCUCAAGUUCCUCGAAGGGAUACU
RNAcentral lists this long non-coding RNA (253 nucleotides) under Linum usitatissimum (flax). Its description in RNAcentral is "long non-coding RNA (LUSI_LNC003738)". The record is from RNAcentral. Lineage: Eukaryota; Viridiplantae; Streptophyta; Magnoliopsida; Malpighiales; Linaceae.